AAACCCCAUUUUACAGAGGCCGAUAUUGCAGCAGCAUGUAUUCGUUUUAGUUUGCGCUUCGCGGUCUGCUCCUCCUGACGCACCUAUUCAGGGCAUUUUCUAGCAGAGAUCGUUGUGAGAUCGCAGGUCGGAAGGAUGACAGAUCGAGUGUAUUUCUCGUUGUUUGCUGUUUUAUCGUGUCUGUUCGGAUACUUGAGCAUAACUCACGCUAUUCUAAGACAAACCACAGUGGACGGUUUAUGUUCGGCGCAGCUGACGGUCGUGCCGUCCCAUCGAGGAUGUUCUUCUGAUAAAGACUGCCCUGGAGGAC
Long non-coding RNA from Sinocyclocheilus anshuiensis, 310 nucleotides. RefSeq lists it as uncharacterized. The record is from RefSeq and is a predicted model, not a curated record. NCBI's taxonomy places the organism in Eukaryota, Metazoa, Chordata, Actinopteri, Cypriniformes, Cyprinidae. The transcript has 2 exons.